RNAcentral lists this ribosomal RNA (508 nucleotides) under uncultured Fibrobacter sp. RNAcentral describes it as "bacterial SSU rRNA". It matches the Rfam family "Bacterial small subunit ribosomal RNA", at positions 163 to 673 of the family's 1533-position model. Lineage: Bacteria; Pseudomonadati; Fibrobacterota; Fibrobacteria; Fibrobacterales; Fibrobacteraceae. The record is from RNAcentral.
UUAAUGUCCAGGAGAGUGGCCCUCCGCAUGGAGGGUUGACUAGAGAUUUAUCGGUAUGGGACGAGCUUGCGUCCGAUUAGCUAGUUGGCGGGGCAACGGCCACCAAGGCGACGAUCGGUAGCCGGCCUGAGAGGGUGAUCGGCCACAUUGGGACUGAGAUACGGCCCAGACUCCUACGGGAGGCAGCAGUAGGGAAUAUUGCACAAUGGGGGAAACCCUGAUGCAGCAACGCCACGUGUGGGAAGAAGCAUUUCGGUGUGUAAACCACUGUCAUGAGGGAAUAAGGCCCGCCUCCGGGCGGGAUUGAAUGUACCUUGAGAGGAAGCACCGGCUAACUUCGUGCCAGCAGCCGCGGUAAUACGAGGGGNGCAAGCGUUGNUCGGAAUUACUGGGCGUAAAGGGAGCGUAGGCGGAGAUUCAAGCGGAUUGUACAAUCCCGGGGCCCAUCCCCGGCUCUGCAGUCCNAACUGGAUCUCUUGGAUAGUUCAGGGGCAGGCGGAAUUCCUGG